Molecule: ribosomal RNA, 781 nt
Filed under: uncultured bacterium
Lineage: Bacteria
Description: bacterial SSU rRNA
Rfam family: Bacterial small subunit ribosomal RNA
Source: RNAcentral
CAACGUUGGCGGCGCGCUUAACACAUGCAAGUCGAACGAGAAAGUGGAGCAAUCCAUGAGUACAGUGGCGUACGGGUGAGUAACACGUGGGUAUCUACCUCUUAGUGGGGAAUAACCCUGGGAAACCGGGGCUAAUACCGCAUAAGCCUGAAAGGGGAAAGUCGAAAGACGCUGAGAGAGGAGCCCGCGGCUGAUUAGCUAGUUGGUGGGGUAAAGGCUCACCAGGGCAAAGAUCGGUAGCCGGCCUGAGAGGGCACACGGCCACACUGGCACUGAAACACGGGCCAGACUCCUACGGGAGGCAGCAGUGGGGAAUCUUGCACAAUGGGGGAAACCCUGAUGCAGCGACGCCGCGUGAGCGAUGAAGCCCUUCGGGGUGUAAAGCUCUUUCGACGGGAACGAUAAUGACGGUACCCGGAGAAGAAGCUGCGGCUAACUACGUGCCAGCAGCCGCGGUAAUACGUAGGCAGCAAACGUUGUUCGGAAUUACUGGGCAUAAAGAGUGUGUAGGCGGUUGGGUAAGUUUGGUGUGAAAUCUCCCGGCUUAACUGGGAGGGUGCGCCGAAAACUGCCUGGCUUGAGUACUGGAGAGGAUAGCGGAAUUCCUGGUGUAGCGGUGAAAUGCGUAGAUAUCAGGAGGAACACCUGCGGUGUAGACGGCUGUCUGGACAGUAACUGACGCUGAGACACGAAAGCGUGGGGAGCAAACAGGAUUAGAUACCCUGGUAGUCCACGCCCUAAACGAUGCAUACUUGGUGUGGGUGAUUCAUUUUAUCCGUGC